AUUGAACGCUGGCGGCAGGCCUAACACAUGCAAGUCGAGCGGAUGAAGGGAGCUUGCUCCUGGAUUCAGCGGCGGACGGGUGAGUAAUGCCUAGGAAACUGCCUGGUAGUGGGGGAUAACGUCCGGAAACGGGCGCUAAUACCGCAUACGUCCUGCGGGAGAAAGUGGGGGAUCUUCGGACCUCACGCUAUCAGAUGAGCCUAGGUCGGAUUAGCUAGUUGGUGGGGUAAAGGCCUACCAAGGCGACGAUCCGUAACUGGUCUGAGAGGAUGAUCAGUCACACUGGAACUGAGACACGGUCCAGACUCCUACGGGAGGCAGCAGUGGGGAAUAUUGGACAAUGGGCGAAAGCCUGAUCCAGCCAUGCCGCGUGUGUGAAGAAGGUCUUCGGAUUGUAAAGCACUUUAAGUUGGGAGGAAGGGCAGUAAGUUAAUACCUUGCUGUUUUGACGUUACCAACAGAAUAAGCACCGGCUAACUUCGUG
RNAcentral lists this ribosomal RNA (484 nucleotides) under uncultured bacterium. Its description in RNAcentral is "partial 16S ribosomal RNA". It matches the Rfam family "Bacterial small subunit ribosomal RNA", at positions 30 to 507 of the family's 1533-position model. The record is from RNAcentral.